GACGAACGCUGGCGGCGUGCUUAACACAUGCAAGUCGAGCGGUAAGGCCCUUUCGGGGGUACACGAGCGGCGAACGGGUGAGUAACACGUGGGUGACCUGCCCUCAGCUCUGGGAUAAGCCUGGGAAACCGGGUCUAAUACCGGAUAUGACUCCAUGACGCAUGUUGUGGGGUGGAAAGCCUUGUGCGGCUGAGGAUGGGCCCGCGGCCUAUCAGCUUGUUGGUGGGGUGAUGGCCUACCAAGGCGACGACGGGUAGCCGGCCUGAGAGGGCGACCGGCCACACUGGGACUGAGACACGGCCCAGACUCCUACGGGAGGCAGCAGUGGGAAUCUUGCGCAAUGGGCGAAAGCCUGACGCAGCGACGCCGCGUGAGGGAUGAC
This 382-nucleotide ribosomal RNA is filed under the name uncultured bacterium. Its description in RNAcentral is "bacterial SSU rRNA". It matches the Rfam family "Bacterial small subunit ribosomal RNA", at positions 28 to 412 of the family's 1533-position model. The record is from RNAcentral.